RNAcentral lists this ribosomal RNA (246 nucleotides) under uncultured bacterium. Its description in RNAcentral is "partial 16S ribosomal RNA". It matches the Rfam family "Bacterial small subunit ribosomal RNA", at positions 1255 to 1500 of the family's 1533-position model. The record is from RNAcentral.
CAGCGAUGUGGAGCAAACCCCUAAAAAUGGUCUCAGUUCAGAUUGCAGGCUGCAACCCGCCUGCAUGAAGUCGGAAUUGCUAGUAAUCGCGGAUCAGCAUGCCGCGGUGAAUACGUUCCCGGGCCUUGUACACACCGCCCGUCACACCAUGAGAGUUAGGAAUACCCGAAGCCUGUGAGCUAACUUUAAUAGAGGCAGCAGUCGAAGGUAGAACUAAUGAUUGGGGUGAAGUCGUAACAAGGUAUC